Molecule: ribosomal RNA, 666 nt
Filed under: uncultured marine microorganism
Description: bacterial SSU rRNA
Rfam family: Bacterial small subunit ribosomal RNA
Source: RNAcentral
UGGCUCAGAACGAACGCUGGCGGCGUGCUUAACACAUGCAAGUCGAACGAGAACGGAGACUUCGGUCUCCCAGUAAAGUGGCGAACGGGUGAGUAACACGUGGAUAACCUACCUCUUGGUGGGGGAUAACCACUCGAAAGGGUGGCUAAUACCGCAUAAGUUCGCAGAGGGCAGCCUCUGCGCGGAAAGCCGGUUUACGGCGCCGAGAGAUGGGUCCGCGGACCAUUAGCUAGUUGGUGGGGUAAAGGCCUACCAAGGCUUCGAUGGUUAGCUGGUCUGAGAGGAUGAUCAGCCACACUGGAACUGCGACACGGUCCAGACUCCUACGGGAGGCAGCAGUGGGGAAUUUUGCGCAAUGGGCGAAAGCCUGACGCAGCAACGCCGCGUGUGUGAUGAAGGCCUUCGGGUUGUAAAGCACUGUUCGAGGGGAAGAAUAAGCGGGGGUAAUGCCUCGCCCUGACGGUACCUUCGAAGCAAGCACUGGCUAACUCCGUGCCAGCAGCCGCGGUAAUACGGAGAGUGCAAGCGUUGUUCGGAAUUAUUGGGCGUAAAGGGCGUCUAGGUGGCGGAUCAAGUCAGGUGUGAAAUCCCUCGGCUCAGCCGAGGACGUGCAUUUGAAACUGGUCCACUUGAGUACUGGAGGGGUUAGCGGAAUUCCCGGUGUAG